This 253-nucleotide ribosomal RNA is filed under the name uncultured bacterium. Its description in RNAcentral is "partial 16S ribosomal RNA". It matches the Rfam family "Bacterial small subunit ribosomal RNA", at positions 524 to 776 of the family's 1533-position model. The record is from RNAcentral.
UACGUAGGGUGCGAGCGUUAAUCGGAAUUACUGGGCGUAAAGUGUGCGCAGGCGGUCGCGCAAGUCGAGUGUGAAAGCCCCGAGCUUAACUUGGGAAUUGCGCUCGAAACUACGUGACUGGAGUGUGGCAGAGGAAGGUGGAAUUCCACGUGUAGCGGUGAAAUGCGUAGAGAUGUGGAGGAACACCGAUGGCGAAGGCAGCCUUCUGGGCCAACACUGACGCUCAUGCACGAAAGCGUGGGGAGCAAACAGG